GUGCUACUGAGGAGUCUGAACUAUUUAUCCCCAGAACAGGUGCAGCACAGGCAGUGGCAAUGUGAGCUUCUUCACAACAACCCACCAGUGUGCUUCAGCCCUGACCUGCACGAAUGUAUAUAGCAGAUGCUUAAGUGCACUUUGGGACAAAU
This 152-nucleotide small RNA is filed under the name Chelonoidis abingdonii (Abingdon island giant tortoise). RNAcentral describes it as "TUC338 (ENSCABG00000012607.1)". Lineage: Eukaryota; Metazoa; Chordata; Testudines; Testudinidae. The record is from RNAcentral.